Oncorhynchus keta (chum salmon) is the source of this 498-nucleotide long non-coding RNA. RefSeq lists it as uncharacterized. NCBI's taxonomy places the organism in Eukaryota, Metazoa, Chordata, Actinopteri, Salmoniformes, Salmonidae. The transcript has 4 exons. The record is from RefSeq and is a predicted model, not a curated record.
UCUCAUAGGUUGACAGCACGUACAGAUGACCUACUCAUAGGUUGACAGCACAUACAGAUGACCUACUCAUAGGUUGACAGCACGUACAGAUGACCUACUCAUAGCUUGACAGCACGUACAGAUGACCUACUCAUAGGUUGACAGCACGUACAGAUGACCUACUCAUAGGUUGACAGCACGUACAGAUGACCUACUCAUAGGUUGACAGCACGUACAGAUGACCUACUCAUAGGUUGACAGCACGUACAGAUGACCUACUCAUAGGUUGACAGCACGUACAGAUGACCUACUCAUAGCUUGACAGCACGUACAGAUGACCUACUCAUAGCUUGACAGCACGUACAGAUGACCUACUCAUAGCUUGACAGCACGUACAGAUGACCUACUCAUAGCUUGACAGCACGUACAGAUGACCUACUCAUAGCUUGACAGCACGUACAGAUGACCUACUCAUAGCUUGACAGCACGUACAGAUGACCUACUCAUAGCUUGACAGCA